This 314-nucleotide unclassified non-coding RNA is filed under the name Hevea brasiliensis (rubber tree). The record is from RNAcentral. Lineage: Eukaryota; Viridiplantae; Streptophyta; Magnoliopsida; Malpighiales; Euphorbiaceae.
GGAAUAGGAUAUUUGGGAUUUGAAAAGCUUACUUUUGUCCCCAUACAGACUAAACUGGUGGACAUAUCUUUGCUCUCUGUUGCGGAAGUGGAGUGGCUCAAUAGUUACCAUUUGCAAGUUUGGGAGAAGGUUUCACCUCUGCUGGAUGGCUCUGCACGUCAAUGGCUUUGGAACAACACACAACCUAUUACAAAGCUGUAAUUUCUUUAUACAUGCUGUCAAUAAUACGUUAUUCUAUCUUUCAUCCAUUCUUGUACAUAGGAGAUAAAUAAUUUGAUAAUUUAGAGUAACAGCUUCUGAUACACAGUAUAGAC